This 459-nucleotide ribosomal RNA is filed under the name uncultured Streptococcus sp. RNAcentral describes it as "partial 16S ribosomal RNA". It matches the Rfam family "Bacterial small subunit ribosomal RNA", at positions 341 to 792 of the family's 1533-position model. Lineage: Bacteria; Bacillati; Bacillota; Bacilli; Lactobacillales; Streptococcaceae. The record is from RNAcentral.
ACGGGAGGCAGCAGUAGGGAAUCUUCGGCAAUGGGGGGAACCCUGACCGAGCAACGCCGCGUGAGUGAAGAAGGUUUUCGGAUCGUAAAGCUCUGUUGUAAGAGAAGAACGUUGAUGAGAGUGGAAAGUUCAUCAAGUGACGGUAUCUUACCAGAAAGGGACGGCUAACUACGUGCCAGCAGCCGCGGUAAUACGUAGGUCCCGAGCGUUGUCCGGAUUUAUUGGGCGUAAAGCGAGCGCAGGCGGUUCUGUAAGUCUGAAGUUAAAGGCAGUGGCUCAACCAUUGUUCGCUUUGGAAACUGCAGGACUUGAGUGCAGAAGGGGAGAGUGGAAUUCCAUGUGUAGCGGUGAAAUGCGUAGAUAUAUGGAGGAACACCGGUGGCGAAAGCGGCUCUCUGGUCUGUAACUGACGCUGAGGCUCGAAAGCGUGGGGAGCAAACAGGAUUAGAUACCCUGGUA